Podarcis lilfordi (Lilford's wall lizard) is the source of this 73-nucleotide non-coding RNA. The record is from the annotation of a GenBank genome assembly. NCBI's taxonomy places the organism in Eukaryota, Metazoa, Chordata, Lepidosauria, Squamata, Lacertidae.
AAGGGCUGUAGCUCAGAGGCAGAGUAUCUGUUUUUCAUGCAGAAGGUCCUAGGUUCAAUCCCUGGCACCUUGG